AAGCUACAGUCAUGAAACAAAGAAAGGGAAAUGUUGUUUUGUUCCUGUCUAAUUCUUUCUUGUAAAGUCAAUCAGGCUACUGAUCUGCAAUCUGCAGCAAGCACCGAGCAAGCAGCUCUCUGCUGGCAGAAAACCUCAGAGAGUUGCAAAGAGAUUUGAGUGGUCACAUUAAGAGAAUUUCACCCAAAAAGAAUUAGAUUACGGUUCACCAGCUCCUCCCUUGUGUUGGCUACACAAUCAAUGGAUUCCCUCUUCAAACAAAUAUAAGAAAUCUUUCGAUACCUCCUCACCUCUGGAUUUGUCUUGGCUAUCUUUGCGUCUUUCUCCUGGCAUGAUGAAUUGGC
Molecule: long non-coding RNA, 344 nt
Filed under: Selaginella moellendorffii
Lineage: Eukaryota; Viridiplantae; Streptophyta; Lycopodiopsida; Selaginellales; Selaginellaceae
Description: long non-coding RNA (SMOE_LNC000995)
Source: RNAcentral